UACGUAGGGUGCAAGCGUUAAUCGGAAUUACUGGGCGUAAAGCGUGCGCAGGCGGUCUUGCAAGACAGGUGUGAAAUCCCCGGGCUUAACCUGGGAACUGCACUUGUGACUGCAAGGCUGGAGUACGGCAGAGGGGGAUGGAAUUCCGCGUGUAGCAGUGAAAUGCGUAGAUAUGCGGAGGAACACCGAUGGCGAAGGCAGGUCUCUGGGCCAUAACUGACGCUGAGAAGCGAAAGCAUGGGGAGCGAACAGG
RNAcentral lists this ribosomal RNA (253 nucleotides) under uncultured bacterium. RNAcentral's name for it is "partial 16S ribosomal RNA". It matches the Rfam family "Bacterial small subunit ribosomal RNA", at positions 524 to 776 of the family's 1533-position model. The record is from RNAcentral.